This 741-nucleotide unclassified non-coding RNA is filed under the name Arabidopsis thaliana (thale cress). Its description in RNAcentral is "3' external transcribed spacer". The record is from RNAcentral. Lineage: Eukaryota; Viridiplantae; Streptophyta; Magnoliopsida; Brassicales; Brassicaceae.
CCCUCCCCUAAAUCACUCCAAAAAAACAAUCCCCAAUUCUACACAAGUGUUUCUACACUAACAAAGCAACAGCUCCUUAACGAAUUCCCAACUUUACACGAGCUCGUCUCUCGAGGUUAAAUGUUAUUACUUGGUAAGAUUCCGGACCUCGCCAAGUGUUUUGAAAACCCGCAACGCUCGCAAAGGUGCAUAGUGAGAAUAAUAAGUGAAGAGACAGACUUGUCCAAAACGCCCACCACGAAGGUGCAUAGUGAGAAGAGUAAGUCAAGAGAUAGACUUGUCCAAAAAGAAACGGAAGAGAAAGCUUGGGGAGACGCUCACGAAGGUGCAUAGUGAGAAGAGUAAGUCAAGAGAUAGACUUGUUCAAAAAGAAACAGAAGAGAAUGCUUGGGGUUACACUCACGAAGGUGCAUAGUGAGAAGAGUAAGUCAAGAGAUAGACUUGUUCAAAAAGAAACAAAAGAGAAUGCUUGGGGUUACACUCACGAAGGUGCAUAGUGAGAAGAGUAAGUCAAGAGACAGACUUGUUCAAAAAGAAACAAAAGAGAAUGCUUGGGGAGAUAGAAGUGUGAGAUAGUUCUCAAGCUAAGAAAGUUGUAAAAGCUAAGAACUAGCAAGUAAUCGUCCAGGAUUCCUCCACCAGGACUUGAAAUCGUCGAGGGAAAAAAAUCGGUUCCGAGGAAUCGUCGAUCCGGACUUGGAAUCGUCGAGAAAAGUUUACCGGGUCCGAGGAUUUGUCGAC